RNAcentral lists this transfer RNA (72 nucleotides) under Sus scrofa (pig). It matches the Rfam family "tRNA". Rfam says of the family: Transfer RNA (tRNA) molecules are approximately 80 nucleotides in length. Their secondary structure includes four short double-helical elements and three loops (D, anti-codon, and T loops). Lineage: Eukaryota; Metazoa; Chordata; Mammalia; Artiodactyla; Suidae. The record is from Rfam by way of RNAcentral.
UCCCUGGUGGUUCAGUGGUUAGGACUCAGCACUUUCACCACUGCAGUCCAGGUUCAAUCUCUGGUCUGGGAA